This 74-nucleotide transfer RNA is filed under the name Nitrososphaerota archaeon. RNAcentral describes it as "Thaumarchaeota archaeon tRNA-Tyr". It matches the Rfam family "tRNA". Rfam says of the family: Transfer RNA (tRNA) molecules are approximately 80 nucleotides in length. Their secondary structure includes four short double-helical elements and three loops (D, anti-codon, and T loops). RNAcentral also lists the same sequence under 2 other names. The record is from RNAcentral. Lineage: Archaea; Thermoproteati; Nitrososphaerota.
CCCGCGGUAGCUCAGCUUGGUAGAGCUUCCGGCUGUAGACCGGAGUGUCGCAGGUUCAAAUCCUGCCCGCGGGA